Molecule: long non-coding RNA, 244 nt
Filed under: Mytilus galloprovincialis (Mediterranean mussel)
Lineage: Eukaryota; Metazoa; Mollusca; Bivalvia; Mytilida; Mytilidae
Source: RNAcentral
CUUGUAGACAUAUAUCAUGAUUUGAGAGAUUAUUUCUCUGCUAUACAACUACUUUUCGUUAUUUAGUUUGAUGUUUCUGUUUUGCUGACAUUAAUACGUGUUUCUAUUCAUGAUUCGAUAUGUUAUAUAAGAUAAGGGAUGUACGGAAUCAUCUUUUUUAAAUGAUUAGUUGUAACUUGAAUGUGACUUGAUGGCAGUUACCUAACGUGUGGUAUGAAGUGGUAAUUUACCAUUGUUUUGGAAA